UACGUAGGGUGCGAGCGUUAAUCGGAAUUACUGGGCGUAAAGCGUGCGCAGGCGGUUCGUUGUGUCGGCGGUGAAAGCCCCGGGCUUAACCUGGGAAUGGCCGUUGAAACUGGCGAACUGGAGUGUGGCAGAGGGGGGUGGAAUUCCGCGUGUAGCAGUGAAAUGCGUAGAGAUGCGGAGGAACACCGAUGGCGAAGGCAGCCCCGUGGGCUAACACUGACGCUCAGGCACGAAAGCGUGGGGAGCAAACAGG
Molecule: ribosomal RNA, 253 nt
Filed under: uncultured bacterium
Lineage: Bacteria
Description: partial 16S ribosomal RNA
Rfam family: Bacterial small subunit ribosomal RNA
Source: RNAcentral